CCUACGGGAGGCAGCAGUAGGGAAUUUUCGUCAAUGGGCGCAAGCCUGAACGAGCGAUGCCGCGUGAGUGAAUAAGGCCUUCGGGUCGUAAAGCUCUGUUGCGGGGGAAAAAAGGCAGCAUCAGGAAAUGGGUGCUGACUGAUGGUGCCCCGCCAGACAGUCACGGCUAACUACGUGCCAGCAGCCGCGGUAAUACGUAGGUGGCGAGCGUUAUCCGGAAUGAGUGGGCGUAAAGGGUGCGCAGGCGGUCCUGCAAGUCUGGAGUGAAACGCAUGAGCUCAAAUCAUGCAUGGCUUUGGAAACUGGAGGACUGGAGAGCAGGAGAGGGCGGUGGAACUCCAGGUGUAGCGGUAAAAUGCGUAGAUAUAUGGAAGAACACCAGUGGCGAAGGCGGCCGACUGGCCUGUUGCUGACGCUGAGGCACGAAAGCGUGGGGAGCAAAUAGGAUUAGAUACCCCGGUAGUC
Molecule: ribosomal RNA, 465 nt
Filed under: uncultured bacterium
Lineage: Bacteria
Description: partial 16S ribosomal RNA
Rfam family: Bacterial small subunit ribosomal RNA
Source: RNAcentral